ACUCAAAGGAAUAGACGGGGCCCCGCACAAGCAGCGGAGCGUGUGGUUUAAUUCGAUGUUACACGAAGAACCUUACCAGGGUUUGACAUGCAAGUGGUAGGAAACCGAAAGGCGACCGACCCUUCGGGGAGCUUGCACAGGUGCUGCAUGGCUGUCGUCAGCUCGUGUCGUGAGAUGUUCGGUUAAGUCCGCUAACGAGCGCAACCCUCGCUGUGUGUUAUAUGUGUCACACGGGACUGCCGGUCUUAAGCCGGAGGAAGGUGAGGAUGAUGUCAAGUCAGCAUGGCCUUUAUAUCCUGGGCUACACACACGCUACAAUGGCCAACACAAUAGGUUGCUAAGCCGCGAGGUGGAGCCAAUCCAUAAAGUUGGUCUCAGUUCAGAUUGUAGGCUGCAACCCGCCUGCAUGAAGAUGGAGUUGCUAGUAACCGCAGGUCAGCUAUACUGCGGUGAAUACGUUCCCGGGGCUUGUACACACCGCCCGU
This 485-nucleotide ribosomal RNA is filed under the name uncultured bacterium. RNAcentral describes it as "bacterial SSU rRNA". It matches the Rfam family "Bacterial small subunit ribosomal RNA", at positions 899 to 1397 of the family's 1533-position model. The record is from RNAcentral.